Molecule: ribosomal RNA, 109 nt
Filed under: Olea europaea subsp. europaea
Lineage: Eukaryota; Viridiplantae; Streptophyta; Magnoliopsida; Lamiales; Oleaceae
Description: PK-G12rRNA
Rfam family: Eukaryotic large subunit ribosomal RNA
Source: RNAcentral
UCCAAAGAUGAGCUCAAAGAGAACAGAAAUCUAGUUUGGAACAGAAGGGUAAAAGCUCAUUUAAUUCUGAUUUCUAGUACGAAUAUGAAUCAUGAAAGCAUGGCCUAAC